Dermacentor andersoni is the source of this 1239-nucleotide long non-coding RNA. RefSeq lists it as uncharacterized. NCBI's taxonomy places the organism in Eukaryota, Metazoa, Arthropoda, Arachnida, Ixodida, Ixodidae. The record is from RefSeq and is a predicted model, not a curated record.
GGUGGUUCGUUGUGCGCCCCGGCCAAAUGUGCUGCAGUGCGAGCAUGAGCGCAGGGUUUUAGGAAAGCAAGCGAUAUGGCCUGCCCACGUAGCCACUUGCUUUAUGUCUGUUAUAUAUAUCUGUUGAGAGAAGGAAGAUUGCGCAUUAUAUAUUAGGAAAAAUUCCGCGCAACGUUUUACCUCUGCUGUUCAUGCUUUGUGGUGUCCGAAUUGCGGUGAAGUAUAUACGUCAAGUCGGGUACCGAAGAAGAGUACGAGGAGAAAGAACGACUCCUUGAGGAGAUUUGGACGCUCGCGAGGGAGUACGGAUACAAAACCAGAAGCCGCAAGACACAGUCGGUUGCGGCUUAGAGAAGUUUUGCUACAACAGUCCGUGACAGCGCAGCAGCUACGGUGGCACCACCAGUGCUGUUAAGCAUAAAUUCAGAGCCACUCAAUGCUGAUGGGACCUUUGACGACACAGUUGACAGUGCCACGGAACUGUUGGAGAGAGUGGCACGUGGCACAGACACAAUGGAAGCGCAAGGUUCCUCUGCAAGCAGCGACGAGAUCCAGCGCACCCAGCGACCAAGGUUGCCGAGCCCAGGCGCGUUAAGACACAAUGAGGACGACGGGACUGAGACAGGAGCUGUGAUAGUUGCGCCUAGAAAGGGAAGGGCUCAAGCUGCGGCAGCAACUGCGGACCAUGAGUUCCUGGAAAAAAGAUGGAGACAUGAAAGUGCCCUUAAGGAGAAAGAACAUGACAUAGAAAUGGAGCGGCUCGCCAUAGAAAGAAUGAGAAUUGAGCUUAAACAUAAACGGUGGGGAAAAAAAACACGAAUUGAGGCAAAGAAAGACGGAACGAAAAUUGCAGCUGCGCGAGCGGAAAUUUCAAACGCAAUUGGAUGAAUCAAGCCAGAGGGAGCAGCACUUAAGGUUUUACAAGACUACUCAGCAAGCAAUACAUGCUAUUGUAGAAACACUGGCUAAUAAGCUAGGCAAGUAGACAACACAGAAUACUUUUUUCCACAGUCGCCCAUUAAAGGGACACUAAAUGAUAAAUGAUACAAUUGAACAAUAUUAACAAACUGCUUAUUUGCACUACAAGAUAAGUUAUGCUUACUGUGAGAAGACGCUUAGCAGGCCAGAAAAGGAAAAACAAAAGCCAAGUGGCAAUGUUGCCUUGAAGUUCCCACAAUAAGUGGCUGUGACAUCGCGGAUUUUGACAAUUUCCUUUAUUUAGUUCAAUUAUUCAUCGCA